GGGGUAAAGGCCUACCAAGACAAUGAUGCAUAGCCGAGUUGAGAGACUGAUCGGCCACAUUGGGACUGAGACACGGCCCAAAUUCCUACGGGAGGCUGCAGUAGGGAAUCUUCCACAAUGGGCGAAAGCCUGAUGGAGCAACGCCGCGUGUGUGAUGAAGGCUUUCGGGUCGUAAAGCACUGUUGUAUGGGAAGAAAAGUUAAGGUAGGGAAUGACCUUAGCCUGACGGUACCAUACCAGAAAGGGACGGCUAAAUACGUGCCAGCAGCCGCGGUAAUACGUAUGUCCCGAGCGUUAUCCGGAUUUAUUGGGCGUAAAGCGAGCGCAGACGGUUGGUUAAGUCUGAUGUGAAAGCCCGGAGCUCAACUCCGGAAAGGCAUUGGAAACUGGUUAACUUGAGUGCAGUAGAGGUAAGUGGAACUCCAUGUGUAGCGGUGGAAUGCGUAGAUAUAUGGAAGAACACCAGCGGCGAAGGCGGCUUACUGGACUGUAACUGACGUUGAGGCUCGAAAGUGUGGGUAGCAAACAGGAUUAGAUACCCUGGUAGUCCACACCGUAAACGAUGAACACUAGGUGUUAGGAGGUUUCCGCCUCUUAGUGCCGAAGCUAACGCAUUAAGUGUUCCGCCUGGGGAGUACGACCGCAAGGUUGAAACUCAAAGGAAUUGACGGGGACCCGCACAAGCGGUGGAGCAUGUGGUUUAAUUCGAAGCAACGCGAAGAACCUUACCAGGUCUUGACAUCCUUUGAAGCUUUUAGAAAUAGAAGUGUUCUCUUCGGAGACAAAGUGACAGGUGGUGCAUGGUCGUCGUCAGCUCGUGUCGUGAGAUGUUGGGUUAAGUCCCGCAACGAGCGCAACCCUUAUUGUUAGUUGCCAGCAUUCAGAUGGGCACUCUAGCGAGACUGCCGGUGACAAACCGGAGGAAGGCGGGGACGACGUCAGAUCAUCAUGCCCCUUAUGACCUGGGCUACACACGUGCUACAAUGGCGUAUACAACGAGUUGCCAACCUGCGAAGGUGAGCUAAUCUCUUAAAGUACGUCUCAGUUCGGACUGCAGUCUGCAACUCGACUGCACGAAGUCGGAAUCGCUAGUAAUCGCGGAUCAGCACGCCGCGGUGAAUACGUUCCCGGGUCUUGUACACACCGCCCGUCACACCAUGGAAGUUUGUAAUGCCCAAAGCCGGUGGCCUAACCGUAAGGAGGGAACC
This 1208-nucleotide ribosomal RNA is filed under the name Leuconostoc carnosum. RNAcentral's name for it is "bacterial SSU rRNA". It matches the Rfam family "Bacterial small subunit ribosomal RNA", at positions 254 to 1454 of the family's 1533-position model. The record is from RNAcentral. Lineage: Bacteria; Bacillati; Bacillota; Bacilli; Lactobacillales; Lactobacillaceae.